This 249-nucleotide ribosomal RNA is filed under the name uncultured Saprospiraceae bacterium. RNAcentral's name for it is "partial 16S ribosomal RNA". It matches the Rfam family "Bacterial small subunit ribosomal RNA", at positions 355 to 621 of the family's 1533-position model. The record is from RNAcentral. Lineage: Bacteria; Pseudomonadati; Bacteroidota; Saprospiria; Saprospirales; Saprospiraceae.
UGAGGAAUAUUGGACAAUGGGCGCAAGCCUGAUCCAGCCAUGCCGCGUGAGUGAAGAAGGUCUUCGGAUUGUAAAGCUCUUUUGCCAGGGACGAUAAUGACGGUACCUGAAGAAUAAGCACCGGCUAACUCCGUGCCAGCAGCCGCGGUAAUACGGAGGGUGCGAGCGUUAUCCGGAAUUACUGGGUUUAAAGGGUGCGUAGGCGGCUUUGUAAGUCGGGAGGGAAAGUUUGCGGCUCAACCGGAAAAU